RNAcentral lists this long non-coding RNA (3319 nucleotides) under Ricinus communis (castor bean). RNAcentral describes it as "long non-coding RNA (RCOM_LNC002977)". Lineage: Eukaryota; Viridiplantae; Streptophyta; Magnoliopsida; Malpighiales; Euphorbiaceae. The record is from RNAcentral.
CUUACGCCAACUGGUUCCAUUCCAUUGACAACAGCAACUCCUCAGGUUCUUCAUUCUUGUUGGUCUGCAAAGUGUUUUUUGAAGGUCCAACUGGUAUGAAUUCCUGUUAAAAAACAACAUGAAGUUCUUCAAGCUUCGAGGUGGUACUAUACUAGGAGGAUUUGUCUACUCCAUAACUAACGUCAAUAAUAAUAAUAUCACUAAAGCUAGUCCGGCGGUUCCAUGCAGAUUGGAAACAGACCAGACCUGAGUGAGACCUCAUCACUUCAUUAUAGGCAAAAUUGUUGGAUGAUGUAUCCGACGUGGCUGUCUUCUUUUUGUGGGUUCGGUUUCAGCUCUCUCUCAUGUAAGUAGAUCAGGCAGUACCCACACUUGCUCUUAUUUUUCAUUUUGUUUUGUUUAAAAUCUAGGUCAUAUUAGCCCAUUUAGACCCAAAUAAUUUUCCUGAAUCUGCAAGGUGGUACCGUACAAACUCUAAAUUACUCUAAAUUAUUAGAUUAAAAAAAUAAUUUUAUAUUUUAAUAUUUAUAUAUUUAAUUUAAAAUUUAGUAAAAUAUUUAAUUAAUUAUAUUAUGUUGAUUAAGUUCUAUAAUUUAAUUAGAAUUCUUUAAAUUUAUCGAAACGAUUAAACAUGUAAUGAGCAAUAAUUAUACUGACAUGAUUUAGAAUAUGAAUCUUUAAAGUAAUUACUUAGAUUAUUAUGUAUAUAUUUAAGAGUAUAUAUUUCUACUUAUUUUCAUAUAAUAUAUAAACAUAAAUUGAAAUGCAGCAUCGAAAUAAGCUGGUAGCAAAAAAAUUAAAAUAACUACUCAAAUAGUACUGAUGACUUUGAUAUUUAUAUUUUUUAAGGAAUGAAUGGAGUUUGUUUUUCUUUAAGAACACAUAAAAGUUUACUAUUUUUGGAUCCCUAAGAAGAAAGACAGAUGAGAGAAGAGGAGAGAGGGUUAAUCUUAGAAAAAAGAACAAAAAAAUAGAGAGAGACAGAAAUGAAAUUUUUGUAUUGAGAAAAUAUUAUGACAGUCUUGACAAUUGGAUUUAAAUGACCCGAAGAUCAUAAAUUUUACAUUAAAUAGACCUAAAGAAAGGUUAAAAAGCUGUAAACUGGUCCUUCUGAAUAAGUUGGAGGGCCAAAUUGAACAUUAUUCAAACAUGUAUGACCUAAGAGUAUUUGGUGAUGAAAAGAAGGUACGGAAAUUGAAUUUGAAGUUUGAGCAAACUUGGUAGGUAGGCAGCUCUGGAUGACUAUGCAAUUCCAAAUUUACUCAUCUACUGAAGCAUUUAUUUAUUAAUUUAUCAUGUUCAAUCUUUAUGAGUAUUUCCAGGGGAACUAAUAAUUGUUGUUGAUUGGCGGUAAAUGUAGGUGCAUGCAUGUAUGAUGAAUCCACAUUCUCGUACUUAUAAAAAGAAAUACUAAAUAUUUUAUUUUUAUUUAUCUUAAUUCUUAUAUGAUGUAUUAUAUAAUAAUUUUAUUAAAUUUAUAUACAUAUAUAUAUUAAAUUUAUACUUUUAAAAAAUUUAAGAAUAUUUAAAAAUAGUUAGUUAGUUUUUAUUUUUUAAAUUUUAUAAAUUAAUAUUAAAUAUUAAAAAAUUUAUUUAAUUAUAUUUAUUAAUUUAAUUUUAUAAUUAAAAUAAUAAUAUUUUUUAAUUUUUUGAGAUUAAGAAACUGUAUGUAAGAAUUUUAAUGUUAUAUUAGAUGGAUACAAAUUGAAAUAAAUACACGUGAGUUAUUCUAAUACUAUUAGAACUAGUCAAUUAUUAUAUUUCUUUCAUUUUAAGAAGAUAAUCCACUUUAAUACUAUAAAUUUCUAGAAUUAUUCCUUUAAAAUAUUUUUAUAAAAUUAUAUUUAAUAAUUAUUUAUUAAAUUAGUAACUAAAAAAUACAUCAAAAUUUAAGAUGGCUAACAAGGAAAAUGGAAUUAAUCUUUUGAGAUGAUGGGAAUGCCUAGAGUAAUGCACAAACUCAAUGGUCACGUAUUACUUAUGGAAAUACAGACUCCUAUACUAAUCAACUCAUAUGCAUAUGAGUUGAUGCACAAAGUCAUUGGCUCACAUACCACCGAAGCUGUUCACCUAAUGGUUUAGAUUCGAUUUUUGGAGGACGGUUAUUUGAGGUAUGUAUCUCUCUUGUAAAGAUCACUUAGAUCAAGUGUUGGUUGGAUCUUUUCUAUUUGAGCUUGAGGUUGGUGUUUGCAGUAAUGCGCUUGGACUCCACCUCAAAUUUAGCUAUAGCUCUACAAGUAUUUUACAUUAAAAAGAAACUUAUAUGGUUACGUCCAGUAAGGUCAAGUCCCGAAGAUCGCCCUCUCUCUUUUUAUAUUAACCAAAAAAAAACUCAUUGGUCACAUCAAUUGUGAAAAAUAUCACUGUUAAAUCUAUUUUUUUUAUUGGAGAUUUGUUCAUCUUCUUUUUACGAUUUCGAAAAUAACUUUUGUUUGAAGAAGCAUGUUCCAAAUAUACUUUUGACUAAAUAAAUAAAUAAACCAAAAGCUAAUUUGGAAAAACUGUAUCAAACUACACCUGUGACAAUCGACUUAUACCUAAGGAAUGAAUGGAGUCAAGUUGAUUAUACUGGUGUGUUGAAAAUUUCAGUUGUCUCACCUAUCUCUGAACAACCUGAUAGCUGACCUGAGAGCAACUUCUGUGUAUGUGCGUGUUUAAUCAAAGUCCUUGAGGACCUUGACUUGCUAUUCUUAACCUGGGUACUUGGAAGAUCAUGUAGCUUGAUUUUUCUUGUAUAUUUAUUUAUCCUCAACAAUAUACCAGGGAAGUCAUAAAAUCUUGAAAUCUUAAUUCAAAUAACAAAUCAUUUACAUUUUAAUCAAUCAAGCAUUCAUGAAUACAUCGCCAUCUUAUACAAGAAUAGCAUGUCUCUCAUGAAAUCCAAUAUAUGUAUGUACAUGAAAGAAGGAGAAGAAGAAGAAAAAAAACAAACAAAUUCCUUUGGAUCAAAAGAAUUAUCUUGAUGCAAACCAAUUAUGCAUGCUAAUCUUUCUAAGCACCCACUUUUGUGGACAUGGUACAUUAGAAACUAACUUGAACACCCUUUCUUUUUCCUGUAAUUGCCAGAGAUUUAGAAUCCUUUCCAGGCAUUGAGAACUUCAUUGAAUAUUUCAGCUAUCAGAUCCCUAUCUGCACAUUGCAUGAAAUCAUUAAAAUCAUCUCGAAUAUCAAAUAUCCUACUGAAUUUCACAAGAUACAUCAUGCAGCUCAUCUUCAGUUUCGGUAGCUGGUACAAUGAUGCACUUUGUAGUCGGUCGAGAACAUUCUUUGUAUCUAUAUCCUCCAAAAGACUCUCAUGGCAUGCCUCUUUCAAGUCGUC